RNAcentral lists this ribosomal RNA (207 nucleotides) under uncultured bacterium. RNAcentral's name for it is "partial 16S ribosomal RNA". It matches the Rfam family "Bacterial small subunit ribosomal RNA", at positions 568 to 774 of the family's 1533-position model. The record is from RNAcentral.
CUCGUAGGCGGUUCGUCGCGUCCGGUGUGAAAGUCCAUCGCUUAACGGUGGAUCCGCGCCGGGUACGGGCGGGCUUGAGUGCGGUAGGGGAGACUGGAAUUCUCGGUGUAACGGUGGAAUGUGUAGAUAUCGGGAAGAACACCAAUGGCGAAGGCAGGUCUCUGGGCCGUCACUGACGCUGAGGAGCGAAAGCGUGGGGAGCGAACA